UGAGUAACCUGCCCUUAACUCUGGGAUAAGCCUGGGAAACUGGGUCUAAUACCGGAUAUGACUCCUCAUCGCAUGGGUGGGGGGUGGAAAGCUUUAUUGUGGUUUUGGAUGGACUCGCGGCCUAUCAGCUUGUUGAUGAGGUAAUGGCUUACCAAGGCGACGGCGGGUAGCCGGCCUGAGAGGGUGACCGGCCACACUGGGACUGAGACACGGCCCAGACCUCCGUACGGGGAGGCAG
Molecule: ribosomal RNA, 238 nt
Filed under: uncultured bacterium
Lineage: Bacteria
Description: partial 16S ribosomal RNA
Rfam family: Bacterial small subunit ribosomal RNA
Source: RNAcentral